This 497-nucleotide ribosomal RNA is filed under the name uncultured bacterium. Its description in RNAcentral is "partial 16S ribosomal RNA". It matches the Rfam family "Bacterial small subunit ribosomal RNA", at positions 28 to 507 of the family's 1533-position model. The record is from RNAcentral.
GACGAACGCUGGCGGCGUGCCUAACACAUGCAAGUCGAACGAACAGACGCGGUCCUUUCUCCUCUGAGUUUAUCGGCGGACGGGGGAGUAACAAGUGGUUAGCAUACCUACCAGACCGGGAUAAUAACGGGAAACCGGGGCUACUAACGGAUAAUAUAUUGAACCGGAUGGUUCAAUAGUGUAAGAAGGUUUUGCUUUCGGUUAUAGAUGGACCCGCGGCCUAUCAGCUGGUUGGUGAGGUGAUGGCUUACCAAGGCGGUGAUGGGUAGCCGACCUGAGGGGGAGGUCGACGAGCCGGGAGGGGAGGAGCGGUCGAGACACCUACGGGGGGCAGCAGUAGGGAAUCUUCCGCGAAGGGCGAAGGCCUGACGGAGCAACGCCGGCGGGUUGAUGAUGGACUUCGUAGGGUUGAGCUCUGUUAUUAGGAGAGAAGAAAUGUUUAAUUAACUGUGCACGUCUUGACGGUACCUGGACAAAAAGCCACGGCUAACUACGUG